AUACGUAGGGUGCAAGCGUUAACCGGAAUUACUGGGCGUAAAGCGUGCGCAGGCGGUUUUGUAAGACAGUGGUGAAAUCCCCGGGCUCACCCUGGGAACUGCCAUUGUGACUGCAAGGCUGGAGGGCGGCAGAGGGGGGUGGAAUUCCGCGUGUAGCAGUGAAAUGCGAAGAUAUGGGGAGGAACACCGAUGGCGAAGGCAAUCCCCUGGGCCUGCACUGACGCUCAUGCACGAAAGCGUGGGGAGCAAACAGGAUUAGAUACCCUGGUAGUCCACGCCCUAAACGAUGUCAACUGGUUGUUGGGGAUUUAUUUUCUCAGUAACGAAGCUAACGCGUGAAGUUGACCGCCUGGGGAGUACGGCCGCAAGGUUAAAACUCAAAGGAAUUGGCGGGG
RNAcentral lists this ribosomal RNA (395 nucleotides) under uncultured bacterium. Its description in RNAcentral is "partial 16S ribosomal RNA". It matches the Rfam family "Bacterial small subunit ribosomal RNA", at positions 523 to 918 of the family's 1533-position model. The record is from RNAcentral.